CGCAGCGCUGUAGCUGUAGCACAGUGGACGUGGAGAAAGAGGACUUCACGGGUUACGGUGUGCGCAAUAACCAACAGUGAAGACUUUGCGCAUAGUUUCGUUUUGGUAUCCCCUCGGUUACCACUAGUCGAAGUCGAACUAACCUGUAGUGGUUGAUCCGUGAACUGUGUCAUCGCGGUACUGUUGCUGAACAGUCAUGAAGCUCGUGGUUGCAGCUGCUGCGGUUAAAGCCGGCCUGACAGUACUGGCUGCACCACUUGCCCUAGGAGCUCUAGGAUUCUCCGCAGCAGGAGUAGGAGCAGAUUCCGUUGCGGCUGCAUGGCAAAGCUCCAUCGGAGUAGUGGCUAAAGCAAGCGUGGUUUCGCUCCUUCAGAGCUGUGGAGUAGUGGGUACAGCAAUGAAAGCAGCAGGCUUCGGCUCAAGGGAAAAGGAAACCGAUGAAAGUGAAGAGAGCGAGGAAAAGUGCGAGGAAGAGUGCGAGGAAAAGUGCAAAAAAGCGGUUUAAAGCAUGUGUGGUCUGUAGCCUUUGUUUUUUUUUUUUUUUUUAUGAUGGACUGACCUGUAACCACAUAAGUCACAGGUCGCUGUCCGAACGCUACUGUGUACUGCAGUAAAGGCAGAUAAAUCUUGAGUAGACAAGAUGGGAGGUCAAACAGAAACCUUCUAUUUUUUUUUUUUUUCAUAUUGAUUUGCAUAAGUGGUGG
This is an RNA transcript of Ornithodoros turicata, 704 nucleotides long. It is a transcript of the gene named interferon alpha-inducible protein 27-like protein 2, with no coding region annotated. The record is from RefSeq and is a predicted model, not a curated record. Lineage: Eukaryota; Metazoa; Arthropoda; Arachnida; Ixodida; Argasidae. The transcript has 3 exons.